This 785-nucleotide ribosomal RNA is filed under the name uncultured Fusobacteriota bacterium. RNAcentral describes it as "bacterial SSU rRNA". It matches the Rfam family "Bacterial small subunit ribosomal RNA", at positions 88 to 893 of the family's 1533-position model. The record is from RNAcentral. Lineage: Bacteria; Fusobacteriati; Fusobacteriota.
GGUGAAGGUGGCGGACGGGUGAGUAACGCGUAAAGAACUUGCCUUACAGACUGGGACAACAUUUGGAAACGAAUGCUAAUACCGGAUAUUAUGACUGAGUCGCAUGAUUUGGUUAUGAAAGCUAUAUGCGCUGUGAGAGAGCUUUGCGUCCCAUUAGUUAGUUGGUGAGGUAACGGCUCACCAAGACGAUGAUGGGUAGCCGGCCUGAGAGGGUGAACGGCCACAAGGGGACUGAGACACGGCCCUUACUCCUACGGGAGGCAGCAGUGGGGAAUAUUGGACAAUGGACCAAAAGUCUGAUCCAGCAAUUCUGUGUGCACGAUGAAGUUUUUCGGAAUGUAAAGUGCUUUCAGUUGGGAAGAAGUCAGUGACGGUACCAACAGAAGAAGCGACGGCUAAAUACGUGCCAGCAGCCGCGGUAAUACGUAUGUCGCAAGCGUUAUCCGGAUUUAUUGGGCGUAAAGCGCGUCUAGGCGGUUUAGUAAGUCUGAUGUGAAAAUGCGGGGCUCAACCCCGUAUUGCGUUGGAAACUGCUAAACUAGAGUACUGGAGAGGUAGGCGGAACUACAAGUGUAGAGGUGAAAUUCGUAGAUAUUUGUAGGAAUGCCGAUGGGGAAGCCAGCCUACUGGACAGAUACUGACGCUAAAGCGCGAAAGCGUGGGUAGCAAACAGGAUUAGAUACCCCUGGUAGUCCACGCCGUAAACGACCCUACUAGGUGUUGGGGGUCGAACCUCAGCGCCCAAGCUAACGCGAUAAGUAUCCGCCUGGGAGUAAUACGCAAGU